This 385-nucleotide ribosomal RNA is filed under the name uncultured bacterium. RNAcentral's name for it is "bacterial SSU rRNA". It matches the Rfam family "Bacterial small subunit ribosomal RNA", at positions 28 to 416 of the family's 1533-position model. The record is from RNAcentral.
GACGAACGCUGGCGGCGUGCUUAACACAUGCAAGUCGAGCGGUAAGGCCCUUUCGGGGGUACACGAGCGGCGAACGGGUGAGUAACACGUGGGUGACCUGCCCUUAGCUCUGGGAUAAGCCUGGGAAACUGGGUCUAAUACCGGAUAUGACUCCAUGACGCAUGUUGUGGGGUGGAAAGCCUUGUGCGGCUAGGGAUGGGCCUGCGGCCUAUCAGCUUGUUGGUGGGGUGAUGGCCUACCAAGGCGACGACGGGUAGCCGGCCUGAGAGGCGACCGGCCACACUGGGACUGAGACACGGCCCAGACUCCUACGGGAGGCAGCAGUGGGGAAUCUUGCGCAAUGGGCGAAAGCCUGACGCAGCGACGCCGCGUGGGGAUGACGGCC